This 166-nucleotide unclassified non-coding RNA is filed under the name uncultured Sordariales. RNAcentral's name for it is "sequence contains ITS2". Lineage: Eukaryota; Fungi; Ascomycota; Sordariomycetes; Sordariales. The record is from RNAcentral.
CAACACUCAAGCUCUGCUUGGCGUUGGGGUUAUACGGCAAAAUUCCUGCCGUAUGCCCUGAAAAUCAGUGGCGGGACCGCGAGGAAACCCGGACGAAGUAGAAAUUACAGCGUCAAGGGAUACCUAGCUGGCCUCUAGCCGUAAAAUUUUUAAAAUUUUAUCAGUG